AAGCACUUGAAGGAGAAGAGCCUGAUGCUUGCGGUUCUUCAGUGCCUGGGCAACUGUCCCGGUCCUAGUGAGACAGCUUUGCGUAGAGAUCACGAAACUGGAUGCCUGCAGGACCUAGGCAGAUUCCUGUAUGGUUCUCUUUCACGUCCCCACUUGAGGGAGGUGCGGACAGGAAGCAAGCAUGAAGAUAAACCACAGCUAAUAGUCAGUUCAGUGGUGGAGCCAGACUUGGGCCAGUGGCCCUGAUGUGUAAGACAUUGUUACUGAGUUCCAGCCAGCUGCUGCCAUGCGGGAUUGCGGAUUUACUGUUUCCACUUACUCUAUCUUUUUUAAAAGAGACUAAUAUUCUCAAUUUUUAAGUGAAAGCUGCCAAUUAACAAAAUUAUUGACUUGUACUCUUUUGAAUUUCCCAGAGUAAACAAAAUAAAAUUCCAGGCAAGAAAAA
Molecule: long non-coding RNA, 445 nt
Organism: Symphalangus syndactylus (siamang)
Lineage: Eukaryota; Metazoa; Chordata; Mammalia; Primates; Hylobatidae
Source: RefSeq, a predicted model, not a curated record